This 305-nucleotide ribosomal RNA is filed under the name uncultured bacterium. RNAcentral describes it as "bacterial SSU rRNA". It matches the Rfam family "Bacterial small subunit ribosomal RNA", at positions 333 to 656 of the family's 1533-position model. The record is from RNAcentral.
CUACCUACGGGACGCCGCAGUCGGGCCUCUUGCGCCCUUGCUGAAACUCUGACGCAGUGACGCCGCGUAUAGGAAGAAGGUUUUCGGAUUGUAAACUAUUGUCGUUAGGGAAGAUAAAAGACAGUACCUAAGGAGGAAGCUCCGGCUAACUACGUGCCAGCAGCCGCGGUAAUACGUAGGGAGCAAGCGUUAUCCGGAUUUAUUGGGUGUAAAGGGUGCGUAGACGGGAAAUUAAGUUAGUUGUGAAAUCCCUCGGCUCAACUGAGGAACUGCAACUAAAACUGAUUUUCUUGAGUGCAGGAGAG